This 229-nucleotide ribosomal RNA is filed under the name uncultured bacterium. Its description in RNAcentral is "partial 16S ribosomal RNA". It matches the Rfam family "Bacterial small subunit ribosomal RNA", at positions 524 to 751 of the family's 1533-position model. The record is from RNAcentral.
UACGAAGGGGGGCUAGCGUUGCUCGGAAUCACUGGGCGUAAAGGGCGCGUAGGCGGCCAUUCAAGUCGGGGGUGAAAGCCCGUGGCUCAACCACAGAAUUGCCUUCGAUACUGUUUGGCUUGAGUUUGGUAGAGGUUGGUGGAACUGCGAGUGUAGAGGUGAAAUUCGUAGAUAUUCGCAAGAACACCAGUGGCGAAGGCGGCCAACUGGACCAACACUGACGCUGAGG